CUAGCAAGUGAUACAACUAACCCUCUGUCUGUUAUAAUUAACCUAACCCAUGAGGUAAGUUUUAAGAUGUGUAUGGUGCUUGUACAAAAACAUGAUUAAUCUAAGUCCAUUUUUUUAAAAGUAUUUAGCCACAACCAAAAUGUGUCUAUACGUAUCUAUACCUAUACAUAUAUAUCUGAAACUUUCAUCUGCAUUUUUGUAGCCAAUAAGGCUACAAACUGAUCACAAAUGUGCCAGUAAAAACCAUGAAAUAUAGUCAAAAAAACAGACAAAAUGCUGCAGCAGGCACAGGUUUGGAGAGGGGACCACUAACCAGAACAAUGCAGGAGUUGUGAGUAAUUUAGUGACUGAAGAUUUGGAGAAACAGAAACCAAAUGGAGACAGAGAACAACAACAUUGAAAACAGUGCAAAUGAAGAAGAGGAAAAGACGGCGGACUAGUGCCCUUGGCCACACCUGGAAGAAUUCUUCACAUACAGGGGGAGAAAAAGAGACAGCGUGAAACUGCAAUGCAAACUUUGUUUGCCGCAUACAGUGAUAUCGACUCACAAGAAUUUAGCCUCUAAUCUCAAAAAACACAUUGAGAGAAAACAUCCAUGCAAAAUCCAACAUCAACAAAAGACCACAGCUGCACCAAACAAGCUCUCAGCAAGUAAGCAAGCCAGGUUACCAGAUGUGAUGUUGGCAUCUGCAAGCAAACAUGUCCCACAAGCAACUGUUGACAAGCUUGUCAUCAGUUUCGUAUGUGAAGGUCUACAGCCAUUUGCAGUGGUAGAACAGCCAGCUUUCAAAGAAUUAGUUUACCACAUUGCAAACUCAAGCAAAAGUCAUCUCCAGACCCACUGUCCGUACUAGAAUCUGUGAAGUUGCUGGUCACAUGAAGAAGACUAUGAUUGCAGAACUGGGUAAAGUCAAAUUUGUUGCUACCACCACUGAUUGUUGGUCAGCUCAUCAGAAAAGUUCGGUGUCACGUGCUAUUGGAUAGAAGAAGAGUCCCUGGAAAGAAGAUUUGUGGCACUAGCUUGCAAAAGAUUGAGAGGGUCUCACACAUUUGACAUGCUUGCUGGUGCUCUUGAUGAUGUCCAUUGUCAAUACAAGAUUAGAGGUAAAGUUUUAAGAACCACAAUUGAUAGUGGAUCCAAGUUCAUCAAAGCUUUCAAUAUGUUUGGGGCACAGAAUGAUGCUGAGGUAGAUGAAGAUGAAGCUGACCUAGAUGCUUUUGAUCUAAUCGACCAUAUUGAAUACGUUGAUGCAAGUGUGAUCCUUGCUAAAGACUCUGGUCUGGAAUAUCAACUGUCCUGACAGUACCUCUACCCGAAUACAGAUUUUCAGUACUCUUUCUACCACUGUUCAUUUGUGCACAACCCUUAAUUGCCGAGGAGGGUUCUGACCCAAAUUAAAAUUCACUUUUGAAACCUC
Molecule: long non-coding RNA, 1418 nt
Organism: Thunnus maccoyii (southern bluefin tuna)
Lineage: Eukaryota; Metazoa; Chordata; Actinopteri; Scombriformes; Scombridae
Exons: 2
Source: RefSeq, a predicted model, not a curated record